UCUAACUGUGAUGUCUCCCUAAUUUUCCAAAUGUUUCUUUUUUUACCUGAGAUAUCUCUGUAUUCCCCAGGUGUGUCCUGGAUACUUCUCUAAUUCCUCAGGUGUGUCUACCCUGAUUCUGGAUGUCUGCCAACUCCCAGCACCCAGAGUAAUAACAUGGGAGCUCCAUGACUUGUGGAGA
Molecule: long non-coding RNA, 181 nt
Organism: Hippopotamus amphibius kiboko
Lineage: Eukaryota; Metazoa; Chordata; Mammalia; Artiodactyla; Hippopotamidae
Exons: 3
Source: RefSeq, a predicted model, not a curated record